This 470-nucleotide ribosomal RNA is filed under the name Serratia symbiotica. RNAcentral describes it as "bacterial SSU rRNA". It matches the Rfam family "Bacterial small subunit ribosomal RNA", at positions 9 to 479 of the family's 1533-position model. Lineage: Bacteria; Pseudomonadati; Pseudomonadota; Gammaproteobacteria; Enterobacterales; Yersiniaceae. The record is from RNAcentral.
GAGUUUGAUCAUGGCUCAGAUUGAACGCUGGCGGCAGGCCUAACACAUGCAAGUCGAGCGGUAGCACAAGAGAGCUUGCUCUCUGGGUGACGAGCGGCGGACGGGUGAGUAAUGUCUGGGAAACUGCCUGAUGGCGGGGGAUAACUAGUGGAAACGGUAGCUAAUACCGCAUAACGUCGCAAGACCAAAGUGGGGGCCCUUCGGGCCUCACGCCAUCAGAUGUGCCCAGGUGGGAUUAGCUGGUAGGUGAGGUAACGGCUCACCUAGGCGACGAUCCCUAGCUGGUCUGAGAGGAUGACCAGCCACACUGGAACUGAGACACGGUCCAGACUCCUACGGGAGGCAGCAGUGGGGAAUAUUGCACAAUGGGCGCAAGCCUGAUGCAGCCAUGCCGCGUGUGUGAAGAAGGCCUUCGGGUUGUAAAGCACUUUCAGCGAGGAGGAAGGGUAAUGUGUUAAUAAGACAUUGCA